CUUUGCUUUUUCGUUAUGCUAAUGUACUUUGAAGCCCAAUUUCGUUUACAGUAGGAUUUUUUGCUCUUUCUCCUUACCCUGGGAAAUAGAGGGUGACUCUCAUUAAGUGAGCUAGAUGACUCUCGAACCAUAUGGUGGUUUGCGAGUAUAUUACUGUACUGUUAGGAUGUGUUUCCCUCAACCCAUCAUCUUUUCCUGCCGCUUUUUGUGGCCACCGAAGCGGUGGUCUGUGGAUAAAGGAAGGGCAUCUCAGGUUACUAUCAUUUUAGGUGACUAACUUCUAUUUGUCUCGGUUGCUUUGUAAUCUGAUUUACUUUACUUGUUUACAUUGUCUGAUUAUUUCAGUGUUUUCGGCUGUGUUCUAUUGAAUGGAAUCUUAUCAUCAAUCAAGUAAAAGAAAAAAAGGAGGUUUUGCCUUU
RNAcentral lists this long non-coding RNA (419 nucleotides) under Amborella trichopoda. RNAcentral's name for it is "long non-coding RNA (ATRI_LNC003221)". The record is from RNAcentral. Lineage: Eukaryota; Viridiplantae; Streptophyta; Magnoliopsida; Amborellales; Amborellaceae.